CCUUAAGUUGUACACCUUUAAGGCCAAGAGCACCUCCUUCAAGUAUUGCGAGUGUUGCACCUGGAUAGUUUAUUUAACCAUCAUGAGGGAAUUUUUCAGUUUAUCACCCUCUAUCAUGAGGAUUUGGUUAUACCCCGAAUAGGCGUUCAAGAAGUUAAGCAUGUUGUGAUCGACACCUUUAUCAAUCAGUUAGUCUAUACUUGGUAGUGGGUAAGUGCCCUUAGGACAGGCCUUGUGAGGUUCGAGUAGUCAAUGCACAUCCUCUAUGUAUCAUUUGCCAUUUUCACCAGGAUGACGUUGGUCAGCCACGUCGUGUACCUUGCCUCCUUAAUGAACCUAACCUACAACAACUUCUCGACCUUGACCUUUGUGGCUUGUCUUCUUUCUUCACCAAAUUUCCUCUUCUUUUGCGAUAUAUCUCUAGCCUCUGUGAAUGUUGAUAGCCAAUGGGAGGCCACCUCGUGGUGACCCCUAGGAGGUUGACCAACAUUCGAGCGAACGAGUCGGCAUUGUCGUUCAACAAUCAAUUAAUUAGGGUUUCCUCUUAUCCUUCAAUUGUCAUGCCUUCUUCAAACCACACUCGUCAAAGAAGCUGAAGUGCCUUGCUUCCUCUAUCGGCUCCAACUUCUCAUGAUUCCCUACUCAAGGAUCAAGAUCCUCUCCCACAAUACCCUUGGCCGACUUUGCUCGCUCAACGCUAUUGGUACUAAAAAGACGUAGACUAGCGAUGUAACACUAUUUGGUCAUCUUCUAAUCUUCAUGCAUGGUGAUGAUGUACCCGGACGUUGAAGGGAACUUCAUUUCUAAGUGUAGGGUAGAAACUACCACUCCCAGGAUGUUUAGUGAUAGGCGCCCCAAUAGAACAUUGUAUGAGGUACUAACAUUGAUGACUAGGUACCUAACUAGUAUGGUCCAGGUCAACCUUCCAUUUCUUAAGGUCCUGUGUGGAACGAAGUACCCUAUGGCAGAAACCUUUUCCCUAAAGAAGUCAUACAACUACUCGUCAUAGGGUCUCAUGACCUCCUUUAAUAGUUCCAAUUGCUUGUACGUUCUCCAAUAAAGUAUGUCUAAUGAGAUUCCUUGGUCCAUCAGGACCUUUUUAUUAGUGAAGUGUUUGGC
Molecule: long non-coding RNA, 1119 nt
Filed under: Vigna radiata
Lineage: Eukaryota; Viridiplantae; Streptophyta; Magnoliopsida; Fabales; Fabaceae
Description: long non-coding RNA (VRAD_LNC018042)
Source: RNAcentral